UAGUCCACGCCGUAAACGAUGUUCACUCGCUGUUUGCGAUACACAGUAAGCGGCUGAGCGAAAGCAUUAAGUGAACCACCUGGGGAGUACGAUCGCAAGGUUGAAACUCAAAGGAAUUGACGGGGGCCCGCACAAGCGGAGGAACAUGUGGUUUAAUUCGAUGAUACGCGAGGAACCUUACCUGGGCUUAAAUGUAGAUUGCAUAGAUUAGAGAUAGUCUUUUUCUUCGGAACUAUCUACAAGGUGCUGCAUGGUUGUCGUCAGCUCGUGCCGUGAGGUGUCGGGUUAAGUCCCAUAACGGGCGCAACCCCUAUCGUUAGUUGCUAGCAGGUAAAGCUGAGGACUCUGGCGAGACUGCCACCGUAAGGUGAGAGGAAGGUGGGGAUGACGUCAAAUCAGCACGGCCCUUAUGUCCAGGGCUACACACGUGUUACAAUGGUCGGUACAAAGGGUAGCUACCUGGCAACAGGAUGCCAAUCCCAAAAGCCGAUCCCAGUUCGGA
RNAcentral lists this ribosomal RNA (502 nucleotides) under uncultured bacterium. RNAcentral describes it as "bacterial SSU rRNA". It matches the Rfam family "Bacterial small subunit ribosomal RNA", at positions 791 to 1297 of the family's 1533-position model. The record is from RNAcentral.